Molecule: ribosomal RNA, 253 nt
Filed under: uncultured Bacteroides sp.
Lineage: Bacteria; Pseudomonadati; Bacteroidota; Bacteroidia; Bacteroidales; Bacteroidaceae
Description: partial 16S ribosomal RNA
Rfam family: Bacterial small subunit ribosomal RNA
Source: RNAcentral
UACGUAGGAUCCGAGCGUUAUCCGGAUUUAUUGGGUUUAAAGGGAGCGUAGGCGGAAGCUUAAGUCAGUUGUGAAAGUUUGCGGCUCAACCGUAAAAUUGCAGUUGAUACUGGGUUUCUUGAGUGCAGUAGAGGUAGGCGGAAUUCGUGGUGUAGCGGUGAAAUGCUUAGAUAUCACGAAGAACUCCGAUUGCGAAGGCAGCAUGCCGGCUCCACACUGACGCUGAGGCACGAAAGCGUGGGUAUCGAACAGG